This 328-nucleotide unclassified non-coding RNA is filed under the name soil metagenome. RNAcentral describes it as "partial contains 5.8S ribosomal RNA, internal transcribed spacer 2, and large subunit ribosomal RNA". The stretch from base 1 to 120 matches the Rfam family "5.8S ribosomal RNA", at positions 35 to 154 of the family's 154-position model. The record is from RNAcentral.
GAUGAAGAACGCAGCGAAAUGCGAUAAGUAAUGUGAAUUGCAGAAUUCAGUGAAUCAUCGAAUCUUUGAACGCACAUUGCGCCCCUUGGUAUUCCGAGGGGCAUGCCUGUUCGAGCGUCAUUAUAACCCCUCAAGCUCAGCUUGGUGUUGGGGCCUGCUGCACUGGCAGCCCUUAAAAUCAGUGGCGGCGCCAUCUGGCUCUAAGCGUAGUAAUUCUUCUCGCUAUGGAGUCCUGGUGGAUGCUUGCCAUCAACCCCCAAUUUUUCUAUGGUUGACCUCGGAUCAGGUAGGGUUACCCGCUGAACUUAAGCAUAUCAAUAAGGGAGGA